Molecule: ribosomal RNA, 473 nt
Filed under: fungal endophyte
Lineage: Eukaryota; Fungi
Description: eukaryotic LSU rRNA
Rfam family: 5.8S ribosomal RNA (bases 105-258)
Source: RNAcentral
CAUACCAUUUGUUGCCUCGGCGGUGCCUGCUUCGGCAGCCCGCCAGAGGACCCAAACCCUUGAUUUUAUACAGUAUCUUCUGAGUAAAUGAUUAAAUAAAUCAAAACUUUCAACAACGGAUCUCUUGGUUCUGGCAUCGAUGAAGAACGCAGCGAAAUGCGAUAAGUAAUGUGAAUUGCAGAAUUCAGUGAAUCAUCGAAUCUUUGAACGCACAUUGCGCCCGCCAGUAUUCUGGCGGGCAUGCCUGUUCGAGCGUCAUUUCAACCCUCAAGCCCCCGGGCUUGGUGUUGGAGAUCGGCGUGCCCUCCGGGGCGCGCCGGCUCCCAAAUAUAGUGGCGGUCUCGCUGUAGCUUCCUCUGCGUAGUAGCACACCUCGCACUGGGAAACAGCGUGGCCACGCCGUUAAACCCCCCACUUCUGAAAGGUUGACCUCGGAUCAGGUAGGAAUACCCGCUGAACUUAAGCAUAUCAAU